UCAAAUUUAAAAUCUGGCGGUCUACGGCCGUCCGAGUUGUAAUCUAGAGAAGUGUUUUCCGCGCUGGACCGUGUACAAGUCCUUUGGAACAAGGCGUCAUAGAGGGUGAGAAUCCCGUCUACGACACGGACUGCCAAGCGCUUUGUGAUACACUCUCAACGAGUCGAGUUGUUUGGGAAUGCAGCUCAAAAUGGGUGGUAAAUUCCAUCUAAAGCUAAAUAUGGGCGAAAGACCGAUAGCGAACAAGUACCGUGAGGGAAAGAUGAAAAGCACUUUGGAAAGAGAGUUAAACAGUACGUGAAAUUGUUGAAAGGGAAACGCUUGAAGUCAGUCGCGUCUUCARAAAUUCAGCUGGGCUUCUGCCCUGUGUACUUUUCUGUGGGACGGGCCAGCAUCRGUUUCGGCUGCCAGAAAAAGGUGGGAGGAAGGUGGCACCUCCGGGUGUGUUAUAGCCUCCGAUCGUAUGUGGCAGCUGGGACUGAGGACCGCAKCACGCCUUCAUGGCCGGGGUUCGCCCACGUAACGUGCUURGGAUGCUGGCGUAAUGGCUUUAAGCGACCCGUCUUGAAACACGGACCAAGGAGUCUAACAUGCCUGCGAGUAUUUGGGUGGCAAACCCAUAUGCGCAAUGAAAGUGAACGGUUGGGACUUCUGUCAUGGAAGGYACCGACKCCCGGACCAGACCURUAGUGACRGAUCCUA
This 702-nucleotide ribosomal RNA is filed under the name Geastrum triplex. RNAcentral's name for it is "LSU rRNA". It matches the Rfam family "Eukaryotic large subunit ribosomal RNA", at positions 109 to 793 of the family's 3401-position model. The record is from RNAcentral. Lineage: Eukaryota; Fungi; Basidiomycota; Agaricomycetes; Geastrales; Geastraceae.